AGCGCAGAUAGUGCGCAGCAGGUGUGACCAACGGCGGUCGCGCCGUCCAAGACAAAGGCGUCUU
RNAcentral lists this non-coding RNA (64 nucleotides) under Herbaspirillum seropedicae SmR1. The record is from RNAcentral. Lineage: Bacteria; Pseudomonadati; Pseudomonadota; Betaproteobacteria; Burkholderiales; Oxalobacteraceae.